Molecule: transfer RNA, 67 nt
Filed under: Marmota monax (woodchuck)
Lineage: Eukaryota; Metazoa; Chordata; Mammalia; Rodentia; Sciuridae
Description: tRNA.Ala
Rfam family: tRNA
About the family: Transfer RNA (tRNA) molecules are approximately 80 nucleotides in length.
Source: RNAcentral
GGUUAUGGUUCAGUGGUAGCACGCUUGCCUAGCAUGCAUGAGGCACUGAGUUCAAUUCUCAGUACCA